Myotis lucifugus (little brown bat) is the source of this 74-nucleotide non-coding RNA. The record is from Rfam. Lineage: Eukaryota; Metazoa; Chordata; Mammalia; Chiroptera; Vespertilionidae.
CACGAAAUUCAGGGGUCCCUCAGCCUGGAUUGCGAGAGGGCGCAGGCCAGGCUGGGAGACCCUACCAGUGCAUG